CUCUGCUCCUCUGCUCUACCUGCUUUUCAGGUACGCCUCUUCUGUCUCCAUGGAAAUUUCUAAGCUUCCUGAAGUUUUUAACACCAAGUCCAGUAUCACUCCCUCUACCAUAACUAACUUCUUUUCUCGGAGGUAUUUGGACACUCCCCUUUAUCUUAUCCGAGCUCCUCUCCGGAACGAGAGGAUUGUUCUUCCAGAUCCUCCUCCUCCCGGUUUGAUAGAUCCCCAGAAGGAUCGUAGCAUAGUCUUUUUUGUUAAACAACGGGACUUUGGUCUAACUUUUCCGUUUACCUCCUUCUUUACCGAGGUUUUCCAAUAUUUCAGGAUAACUCCCCGAAUGCUAUCCCCAAAUUCUAUUUUGU
RNAcentral lists this long non-coding RNA (362 nucleotides) under Manihot esculenta (cassava). Its description in RNAcentral is "long non-coding RNA (MESC_LNC002112)". Lineage: Eukaryota; Viridiplantae; Streptophyta; Magnoliopsida; Malpighiales; Euphorbiaceae. The record is from RNAcentral.